This is a long non-coding RNA of Sinocyclocheilus grahami, 307 nucleotides long. RefSeq lists it as uncharacterized. The record is from RefSeq and is a predicted model, not a curated record. Lineage: Eukaryota; Metazoa; Chordata; Actinopteri; Cypriniformes; Cyprinidae. The transcript is spliced from 3 exons.
GUAGGACUUUUAUAGGAACAUUCUGGGCUUUUUCGUGUUAUGUUGUGUCUGCCUUCGCAUCGCCACAUGCCUUGUAAAAUGUUGGCAAGUAUAAUCGGACGUCACAUCCUUCGUAACUUUGGGGGAAUGCAGUGGAGUGGCCUCAUGCAGGUGUCCAGGAAGUUUGCCUGUUUAGGGCAGCGGACCACUCACUGUUCAACACUGUUUACUAGAGGUUUAUAUGGACAGCUGCCCCCAAGACAUGUUGCUGGUUCUGUUUUGGGAGCAUUUCACUGGUCUGCACAUAGACUGAAGAAACGUCCUCAGG